Molecule: ribosomal RNA, 504 nt
Filed under: uncultured Sphingobacteriales bacterium
Lineage: Bacteria; Pseudomonadati; Bacteroidota; Sphingobacteriia; Sphingobacteriales
Description: bacterial SSU rRNA
Rfam family: Bacterial small subunit ribosomal RNA
Source: RNAcentral
UGCGCCUUGCCAGCCCGCUCAGCAACUCAAAUGAAUUGACGGGGCCCGCACAAGCGGUGGAGCAUGUGGUUUAAUUCGAUGAUACGCGAGGAACCUUACCUGGGCUCAAAUGUAUGUUGACGUAUUCUGAAAGGGAUACUUCUUCGGACAAUAUACAAGGUGCUGCAUGGUUGUCGUCAGCUCGUGCCGUGAGGUGUCGGGUUAAGUCCCAUAACGAGCGCAACCCCUAUCAUUAGUUGCCAUCAGGUCAAGCUGGGGACUCUAAUGAAACUGCCUACGCAAGUAGUGAGGAAGGUGGGGAUGACGUCAAAUCAGCACGGCCCUUACGUCCAGGGCUACACACGUGCUACAAUGGCCGGUACAAAGGGCAGCCACCCCGCGAGGGGGCGCGAAUCCCGAAAGCCGGUCCCAGUUCGGAUCGGAGUCUGCAACCCGACUCCGUGAAGCUGGAUUCGCUAGUAAUCGCGCAUCAGCCACGGCGCGGUGAAUACGUUCCCGGGCCUU